AACGAACGCUGGCGGCAUGCCUAACACAUGCAAGUCGAACGAUACCUUCGGGCAUAGUGGCGCACGGGUGCGUACCGCGUGGGAAUUUACCUUUCGGUUAGGAAUCCCUCAGGGUAACUUGAGCUAAUACCGGUUAACGUCGCACCACCAAAGAUCUAUCACCGAAAGAUGGGCCCGCGUAGGAUUAGCUAGUUGGUGAGGUAAAGGCUCACCAAGGCGACGAUCCUUAGCUGGUCUGAGAGGAGGAUCAGCCACACUGGAACUGAGACACGGCCCAGACUGCGACGGGAGGCAGCGGUAGGGAAUAUUGUGGGAGGAGCGAAAGCCUAAUCCAGCAGUGCCGCGUGAGUGACGAAGGCGUUAGUGUUGUAAAUCUCUUUGUCCCGAGGAGAGAGUGACGGUACCGGGAGAAUAAGCCCCGGCUAACUCCGUG
RNAcentral lists this ribosomal RNA (433 nucleotides) under uncultured bacterium. RNAcentral's name for it is "partial 16S ribosomal RNA". It matches the Rfam family "Bacterial small subunit ribosomal RNA", at positions 29 to 507 of the family's 1533-position model. The record is from RNAcentral.